This is a long non-coding RNA of Malurus melanocephalus (red-backed fairy wren), 398 nucleotides long. RefSeq lists it as uncharacterized. The record is from RefSeq and is a predicted model, not a curated record. NCBI's taxonomy places the organism in Eukaryota, Metazoa, Chordata, Aves, Passeriformes, Maluridae. The transcript is spliced from 3 exons.
AUUGGAUAAAUUGUCUACCAAUGCUCAAAGUGAGAAGCUGAUACAAAACUUCCUGAGACAGUUCUGCACUAAAUUGGAAAUGUUACAUCCCCAGGCCCAGAUAUGUCUCUGAUCCAAGAGGGGUGCUCAGAGGAGAGAAGGAAGCUAAAUGAGAUUUAGUGUCUAUCUGUAUUCGCAGAUGCUGGAGCAUGUCCAGAGAAGGGCARUGCAGCUGGUGGAAGGGUCUGGAGCAUCAGUCUUAGGAGGAGCACCUGUGGAUAACGAUUGAAGGUGCAUAAGAGGAGGCUCRAGGGAGACCUUAUYACCCAACCACCUGAAAGGAGGUUGUARCCAGGUGGRWGUUGGUCUUUUCUCUCAAGUAACAAGCAAUAAGAUGAGAUCAAACAGCCUCAAGUUGU